RNAcentral lists this ribosomal RNA (429 nucleotides) under Actinomycetes bacterium. Its description in RNAcentral is "Actinobacteria bacterium partial 16S ribosomal RNA". It matches the Rfam family "Bacterial small subunit ribosomal RNA", at positions 355 to 776 of the family's 1533-position model. Lineage: Bacteria; Bacillati; Actinomycetota; Actinomycetes. The record is from RNAcentral.
UAGGGAAUCUUCCGCAAUGGGCGAAAGCCUGACGGAGCAACGCCGCGUGAGUGAUGAAGGUCUUCGGAUCGUAAAACUCUGUUAUUAGGGAAGAACAAAUGUGUAAGUAACUAUGCACGUCUUGACGGUACCUAAUCAGAAAGCCACGGCUAACUACGUGCCAGCAGCCGCGGUAAUACGUAGGUGGCAAGCGUUAUCCGGAAUUAUUGGGCGUAAAGCGCGCGUAGGCGGUUUUUUAAGUCUGAUGUGAAAGCCCACGGCUCAACCGUGGAGGGUCAUUGGAAACUGGAGAACUAGAGUGCAGAAGAGGAAAGUGGAAUUCCAUGUAUAGCGGUGAAAUGCGGAGAGUUAUGGAGGAACACCAGUGGCGAAGGCGACUUUCUGGUCUGUAACUGACGCUGAUGUGCGAAGGCGUGGGGAUCAAACAGG